Molecule: ribosomal RNA, 253 nt
Filed under: uncultured bacterium
Lineage: Bacteria
Description: partial 16S ribosomal RNA
Rfam family: Bacterial small subunit ribosomal RNA
Source: RNAcentral
UACAGAGGUCUCGAGCGUUGUUCGGAUUCAUUGGGCGUAAAGGGCGCGUAGGCGGCGCUGUAAGUCGGGUGUGAAAUCCUGAGGCUUAACCUCGGAACUGCAUUCGAUACUGCGGUGCUUGAGGACUGGAGAGGAGACUGGAAUUCAUGGUGUAGCAGUGAAAUGCGUAGAGAUCAUGAGGAAGACCAGUGGCGAAGGCGGGUCUCUGGACAGUUCCUGACACUGAGGCACGAAGGCCAGGGGAGCAAACGGG